GCCUAACACAUGCAAGUCGAACGGUAACAGGGAUUGCUUGCAAUCCGCUGACGAGUGGCGCACGGGUGAGUAACGCGUAUGCAAUCUGCCUUUAACUGAGAGAUAGCCCAUAGAAAUUUGGAUUAAUACCUCAUAAUAUUGUGAUUUGGCAUCACUUCACAAUUAAAGCUUCGGCGGUUAAAGAUGAGCAUGCGUCCUAUUAGCUUGUUGGUAAGGUAACGGCUUACCAAGGCAACGAUAGGUAGGGGGCCUGAAAGGGUGAUCCCCCACACUGGUACUGAGACACGGACCAGACUCCUACGGGAGGCAGCAGUGAGGAAUAUUGCGCAAUGGAGGAAACUCUGACGCAGCCAUGCCGCGUGCAGGAAGACGGCCCUACGGGUUGUAAACUGCUUUUAUAUAGGAAGAAACACCGAUACGUGUAUCGGCUUGACGGUACUAUAUGAAUAAGGACCGGCUAACUCCGUGCCAGCAGCCGCGGUAAUACGGAGGGUCCAAGCGUUAUCCGGAUUUAUUAGGUUUAAAGGGUCCGCAGGCGGGAUUUUAAGUCAGUGGUGAAAGCCUACAGCUCAACUGUAGAACUGCCAUUGAUACUGAAAUUCUUGAGUGUGGUUGAAGUGGGCGGAACAUGUCAUGUAGCGGUGAAAUGCAUAGAUAUGACAUAGAACACCAAUUGCGAAGGCAGCUCACUAAGCCAUUACUGACGCUGAGGGAC
Molecule: ribosomal RNA, 715 nt
Filed under: uncultured Bacteroidota bacterium
Lineage: Bacteria; Pseudomonadati; Bacteroidota
Description: bacterial SSU rRNA
Rfam family: Bacterial small subunit ribosomal RNA
Source: RNAcentral